RNAcentral lists this long non-coding RNA (1541 nucleotides) under Marmota monax (woodchuck). Lineage: Eukaryota; Metazoa; Chordata; Mammalia; Rodentia; Sciuridae. The record is from RNAcentral.
CAGUGCUCCUGAGUUCAAUCCCUGGUGCCCACACACACACAAAAGGGGCGGGGAUGGGGAUGUAUGUAAAGUGGUUAAAGUGCCCCUGGGUUCAACCCCCAGUACCAAGAUAAAUAAAACUUGUUCUAAAAAGUCUCCACUGUGAAGGAGAAUCAAGAGGGAAAUGGGGCCUGUGUGGUGGGCCCUGAUUUCCCAGCCGCGACGUGAGUGGCCCAUAUGUCCAUCCUCACCCCACCAACCAGAUCUGUCUGACCUACUUGGCGGUAGUUCGCUUCAAGCGCGCAGGUAAGUGCUUUGAGAUCGCCUGCUUCAAGAACAAGGUUUGGGCGCAGCAGCGUGGAAAAAGACCUUGGAUGAAAUCCUGCAAAUCCACUCAAUGUAAAUGUUUCUAAAGGUCAGGUUGCAAAGAAGGAAGAUCUCAUUAGUGCAUUUGGAACAUAUGACCCAAACUGAAGUCUGUAAGCAGAUUUUGACUAACAGGUUCAGAUAUCAGAUAAAGGCACACACAGCUGGAGCAGAUGUUUAGGGAUACUGUGGCAGCCAUUGUGGCAGACAAAUGUGUCAACCCAGAAACAAAGAAGCCAUACACCAUUAUCCUUGUUGAGAGAGGUAUGAAGGACAUCCAGUAUUCAGUCAAACUCAGCAAGAGUACAGAAUAGCAGGCUUUGUAAGUGAUAAAGUAGCUGAAGGGAGAAAUGAAGAUCAAAUGUGUGGACAGGAGGCUUUGGUUCAUUCCAGUGAAUGAAAGGAAGAAGCUGAAGGAAAAGCUCAAGUCAUUGAUGAAGGUUAUAGAAAGCAAGACUAGAGCCAGCGGCAAGAAAUUGUGUCUUAUUGACCCAGGCUGCUUCUGAGAUAUUGGUGAGCUAAUAAAAAAGGAAACAAACGGGAAAGUUUCUUUGGAAGUACUCAAUUUGACAUUUCUGUCUUGUGUUAAUGUGAACAUAAAAAGACUUCCUACAUGAGGAUAAUGUGGGAAUCAUUUUGUUUUAAUUUUUAAAUUGCUAUUCUAAGCAAAAAUGAAAAUUCAAAAGUACAAGUCCAGGGGCUGGGGUUGUGGCUCAGGGGCAGAACGCUGGCCUAGCUGGCAAGGCUCUGGGUUCGAUCCUCAGCACCACAUAAAAAUAAAAUAAAGGUAUUGUGUCCAACUACAACUAAAAAGCAAAUAUUUUUAAAAAAAGUACCAAGUCCAGAGGAUCAUUUUGCUGCUGUCUGAGGCCUUUAUUACUUUCCAAAAUGAAAGCUACUUGAGACAACUCUUAAGGCUAAAAAGUUACAAUUUUGUACAUUAUAUAAGUAAGAUUACUUGGGGGGAUGUAUGACAAAAAGCAGUAUUUACUGGAAAAGAAAACGUAUCUUGUUUCUACGUCAUACAGCCUGAGCCCGUAGGGGUAACUAUCAUGUGGGUCAAGCUUGGAUGAUGACUUCCUGAUUAUCUGAAAUAGGCAUGUGGUGGCUGCAGGACUAAAUGAUAGUCACUGAACAUGCUGCCGCAACUGGGAUUGUUCUUGGUAAAAUAAAAUGUCAUUCACUUCUGAUUCUUA